CCUUGCAAUUUCCAGUAUAAAGAUUUAUAAUUCGUGGGUCGCGCAUGCGAUGAUGAUUCUGAAGCCGUUGUGCAAUACUCAUUUUGGACCCGGGGGCGGUACCCGGCACCUCCACCAAUAAUACAUACGGGGGUGUUCUAGAUUCGACAGAUGACGAAAGACAAAUUGGUUGAAUCCGACGUGGUGUCGUUAAAAACUAAAUAAAAACUGAAUGGCGAUAGAAUCGCUGCGAACGACAACGUUCGCCUUGCAAUGGCUGCCUAAUAUGGCGUUUGAACGCGGUUGGCAAUCGUUAAUUGCGUUCGUUUAAGCUUUUGCGGGGUCCGCUGGAACCUGGCACCAGAAUC
Molecule: transfer-messenger RNA, 347 nt
Filed under: bovine gut metagenome
Description: Alphaproteobacteria transfer-messenger RNA
Rfam family: Alphaproteobacteria transfer-messenger RNA
About the family: Bacterial tmRNA, also known as 10Sa RNA or SsrA, is named for its dual tRNA and mRNA-like properties. Its role is to liberate the mRNA from a stalled ribosome.
Source: RNAcentral